Molecule: non-coding RNA, 90 nt
Organism: Musa acuminata subsp. malaccensis (wild Malaysian banana)
Lineage: Eukaryota; Viridiplantae; Streptophyta; Magnoliopsida; Zingiberales; Musaceae
Source: Rfam
AGUUGUGGAUGAUGAGACCAUGAAUGCAAUACAGUUAUCCCUGUCUGAUGCAUUACUAUGGGUGCUGAAAGCAGUCUAUCUGACGCAUCC